CAUCUUUCAAGUUUGAAUCGGAACCAACCAAUACAAAUAAUAUUGAGUAAAGCAGUGAAGAUAAGGAGGAUAGCCAAUUCCCUGAAUUUUCUCUCUUUGCAAUGUACCAGGGGAUGCUGGAUGGACAGGACUGAGCAAAGAGUAAUUCAGUGCAAGUGGAUAAUGAACAUUAUUUACACUUGUCUCCCAUCACCAACAUCCAGAUCUCUUCCUAACAUAAUACUGGUAACCAAGGACAUUUAUUUACGCCCUUAUCUUCUCUCUGCUGCAAGGCAGAAGGUCAGCAGAAAACGUGAUUCGGCAUUUCAAGCAGUUGCUUCAUUCUCCUGCCCACUUAUAGAUGAGGACUGGUUGGCAAGUAAAUUUGGUGUUGACGGAGUCACUUUUUAAGGUAUUAGCGAUUGUUGUGCCUUUAGGUUGGAGCUCCAGAAUGGAAGCUUGGCCAAUGCGAUGUGCCAAGUGGUUUUAUAACUUCGUUCAAGGUUCUGAUGUGGCACGGAGGCACAAUUGAGUUGCUGCACACAGGAAUCUCAGAAGGGGAGAAUGGCAUUGCUGUUAUUCAAGGAGGAUUAUCACUAGCCUUAAACUGCCAGAUUGAUAGAGGAAGUUCAGGGUCUCCAAAUACUUAGGCCCUUCAUCAGGUUAAAGAAACCCCUCCAGAAUCAGUUCACAUCGGUUAACUAGUUUUUUCUGACAAAAUUUAGAUACAGUAAGACAACCAAUAGAUGUAUUUGAUUAUGUAGACCAAAUUAGGCCCCUGUUUGAUACAAAUUCUUUAAAAUUAAUUUUUCUCCAAAUUAAUUUUCAACCACAUUCUCCUAUUAAAAUAAUUUUACACGUGGAUCCAUAAUUUUUUCAUACUUUUUAACAACACAUUCUGCAUAAGUAUCAUUUUUCACAAAUUCUACAUCAAAGCAGGCCCUAGAUAAGAUUAAUGAGAAUGCAUUUAUUGAGAAAUGUAGUUAGUAUUGAUUAGCAGAAAUUCUGAGGGCGAUGUGGAGGUGUAAUAUAUCUGCAACAAUAUGUUAUGACCUCGGAGAAUCUAGUCUCAAACGCAAGCGCUUCAGCCCUACGCAUAAUGGGUUUACUCAUAAGCAAUCUGACAGUAAGCACCCAAGAAGAAACUUAUGCAGUGGGACUAGAGGGAUCAGAUAUCUUUAGCAGGCCUCCGCUUUUGGCAAAUUUUAGCAUUAUUUCUCCCGACUUUGGCAGGAGAAAGGAUCAGGUUUCCAAGAAAUUCUGGGGCUGAUGAUGACUUAAAAAGUUGGUGAAUUGUGAUAUAAAUGGAAGAAGAGUUGACGGGUGUAGAAAAAGACAACUACAAUUAUUUGACCGAUGAAGUGACCAGGAUUUAUACCAG
RNAcentral lists this long non-coding RNA (1360 nucleotides) under Olea europaea subsp. europaea. The record is from RNAcentral. Lineage: Eukaryota; Viridiplantae; Streptophyta; Magnoliopsida; Lamiales; Oleaceae.